RNAcentral lists this ribosomal RNA (870 nucleotides) under uncultured Pseudomonadota bacterium. Its description in RNAcentral is "bacterial SSU rRNA". It matches the Rfam family "Bacterial small subunit ribosomal RNA", at positions 58 to 906 of the family's 1533-position model. The record is from RNAcentral. Lineage: Bacteria; Pseudomonadati; Pseudomonadota.
CAAGUCGAACGUGAAAUGGGGCAACCCAAAGUAAAGUGGCGCACGGGUGAGUAACGCGUAGGUAAUCUACCCCUAUGUUCGGAAUAACCUGCCGAAAGGCGGGCUAAUACUGGAUAGAGCGAGGAACACGUAAGGUGUUUUUCGGGAAAGGGGGCUCUUCAAAGAGCUCUCGCAGAGGGAUGAGCCUGCGUCUCAUUAGCUAGUUGGUGGGGUAAUGGCCCACCAAGGCUGUGAUGAGUAGCUGGUCUAAGAGGAUGAUCAGCCACACUGGAACUGAAACACGGUCCAGACUCCUACGGGAGGCAGCAGUGGGGAAUCUUGCGCAAUGGACGAAAGUCUGACGCAGCCACGCCGCGUGAGUGAAGAAGGCCUUCGGGUCGUAAAGCUCUGUCGGGCGGGACGAAAAGGCUUUGCACUAAUACUGCAGAGCUCUGACGGUACCGCCAAAGGAAGCACCGGCUAACUUCGUGCCAGCAGCCGCGGUAAUACGAGGGGUGCAAGCGUUGCUCGGAAUUAUUGGGCGUAAAGGGUAGGUAGGUGGUCUUGUUUGUCUGUGGUGAAAUCCUUGGGCUUAACCCAAGAAGUGCCAUAGAAACGGCAAGACUCGAGUUCUGAGAGGGUCGUGGAAUUCCCGGUGUAGCGGUGAAAUGCGUAGAGAUCGGGAGGAACACCAGAGGCGAAGGCGGCGACCUGGACAGAUACUGACACUCAACUACGAAAGCGUGGGUAGCAAACAGGAUUAGAUACCCUGGUAGUCCACGCCGUAAACGAUCGGUACUAGGCUUAAGAGGUCUUGACCCCUUUUGAGCCGGAGCUAACGCGAUAAGUACCCCCCCCGGGGAAGUACGGUCCCAAGACUAAAACUCAAAG